Long non-coding RNA from Bombus terrestris (buff-tailed bumblebee), 256 nucleotides. RefSeq lists it as uncharacterized. Lineage: Eukaryota; Metazoa; Arthropoda; Insecta; Hymenoptera; Apidae. The transcript is spliced from 2 exons. The record is from RefSeq and is a predicted model, not a curated record.
CCUGAAAUAAGAGUAUGAACAUGUGCAUUUGGAAACUUAUAUAGUAUUGGAAGGUCACUUAACUUUAACCGUAGGUAUAUACAAAUAUGAACAUGUAGCAAGUAUGAAAUUUAUGUGCUUCCCAUUAGAAUGAUAAACAACUUAUCAUAUCAGUUCGCUUACAUUUGAAAGUUUUCUCUCAAAAUCAGGACAAUGAACAGUAUACAAUGCUACAAAGAAGUAACUAAACUACAUAAAAGUAUUGUGUAAGUGAAAA